This 301-nucleotide ribosomal RNA is filed under the name uncultured bacterium. Its description in RNAcentral is "partial 16S ribosomal RNA". It matches the Rfam family "Bacterial small subunit ribosomal RNA", at positions 509 to 810 of the family's 1533-position model. The record is from RNAcentral.
CAGUAGCCGCGGUAAUACGUAGGUCCCGAGCGUUGUCCGGAUUUAUUGGGCGUAAAGCGAGCGCAGGCGGUUAGAUAAGUCUGAAGUUAAAGGCUGUGGCUUAACCAUAGUACGCUUUGGAAACUGUUUAACUUGAGUGCAAGAGGGGAGAGUGGAAUUCCAUGUGUAGCGGUGAAAUGCGUAGAUAUAUGGAGGAACACCGGUGGCGAAAGCGGCUCUCUGGUCUGUCACUGACGCUGAGGCUCGAAAGCGUGGGUAGCGAACAGGAUUAGAUACCCCGGUAGUCCCUGUCUCUUAUACU